GAAAAUGUCUCUUUUAAUAUACUUUACAGUAGUAAAACUAUAACAUCUCAAUUGUUUUUUUUAAAUAAAUUUGAAUAAUGGUUUAGGUCAUUUGAUAAAUAUCACCUUGUAACUAAUAAGAUGAAACAAGGCUAAAUAGGACCAAUUAAGCACGUGAUUUAAAUAUCGAUAUGUAGUGAGUAAAAGAGUAAUCCAACUACCAGUAGAAGAUUACUACAUUUAGUACUAUAACAAGUAUAACACUGUUCCUAAAAAAAAGUGCUUUCUUAUGUUUAAGAUUUAUUUUAAUGUCAAACACAAAUAAUUAGAUCUUUAAAUGAACAAUUUGGGAGUUAAAUCCAUUGCUUCUGAUUUUUAUAGAUUUUAUGGUCUAGGAAAUCUAUACUGUCUGAUUUGAUCCCAUUUAACUGUAAGAUUUUUACACAUGUUGCACUCUACUAGCUGGCAGGAAAAUUAUUUUAAUCGACUGAAUGAAAGUAUUAUUUCAUGUAAAAGUUUAUUAUAUCAAGGAAAUGAUUUAGGUCAGAAGCUAGAAUCUAUAUAAAGUCAGCUUUUGAAAAUAAAGACAGACAAAUCUUUUUUUACAUUAUUAUAAAAGAGCUAAGUUGCAAACAACUAUCCUUGAGACCAGACCAUUUUUUUUUAAGCUGAAAUUUUCUAAUAAUUGCAAUGGCAAAACACCAUUUGCAAUUUCUUCCCUCCCACCUCCCAGGUGGUUCAACAAUUCCACUUCCAAACAGCAUUUCCCAUCAGUUUUUAAAAGCUACUUACAAAGUGUUAUUCUACUACCACUUUUAAAUACAUCAAGCACUUCCAAAUAUCUAGAAAGACUAGAUAUUUCAUAUAACUUGUCCACCACAUACACAUCACUGUUAAAUAAAAUUGCACACACAUAACAAUGGUUAUCAUCUGAGGUAUCUUCUAAAUGUGGCCAUUUUGGCCUUGAAUCAUUCCCUCCUCCCUUCCUUCUCUGCCUUCAAUCCAGUGGACAAGUACAGGCACAUGUAAUGCUUAGAGAUGGUCGAACAAAUUCCUAUGCAAAAGUCUUUACAGAAGACAAGUUUUCCUAUGAAUUUUAACACAAAGCGUACAAAAUAUGCUAAUUUUACUACUUUGUCAUACACUGGCAACCUCUUUAACAACUAGAGACUAGAUGUUGAAAAAUUAGGACUAUUUGUCCAUUAUAUAUACUAUAUACAGAGCAAAACAAAAUGCACAAAACGUAUAGAAAAAUGGUGUCUGAAAAUGUCCAAGUAUGAACACACUAGUAUAUUACCUCUUGCAAUUUCUUCCCUCCUACCUCCUCUAAACCAUUGAACAAGUAUACACAUUACUAUACUGCUCACAAAGGUGGCUUCACAAUUCAAUUUCCAAAAGCAUUUCCUAUGAAUUUUAGCAAAAAGAUAUUUACAAAGUGGUAUUUUACUACCUAUACAUUUAACAUACAUCGGGCACUUCUAAACAUCUAGAUAGACUAGAUGUUUCAAGUAAGGAGUUAAUUUGUCUACUAUGUAUACAGCAGUCUUGAAUAAACUGCAAACAUGUAACAACAGUUAUAAUUUGAAAGAGUCUUCCAAAUGUGAACAUUCUGGCCUAGAACCCUUCCCAUCGCCAUCAACCCAGAAGACAUCAAAUUUUCAGAAGACAAUCUUUCCUAGGACUUGUAAAACAAAAUGUACAAAAUAUAUUAGUUUACUAACUCUACUUUUGUCAUACACUGGCAACCUCUUUAACAUCCAGAAAGACUAGAUGUUGUCAAUUAGGACUCGUCUGUCCUUUAUGUACAUUAUAUACACAGAUAAGUAAAACAAAAUGCACAGACAUACAUCUUGCCUCGCUGUAAACAGGAUGGCAUAGAGCUCUCUGCACCUCCCCCUCCUCUCUCCUCCCCUGAACCACUGCACAAACACAAUGAGUAUUACUCAACAGGUGAUUUGACCAUUCCCCCCAAAAAAUAUUUCCUAUGAAUUGUAACAAAAAGGUAUUUACAAAAUGUGAUUUUGCUACCUCUAAUUUUAACAUAUCAGGCACUUCAGAACAUCUAAAAAGAAGAGACAUUUCAAAAAAGCUUAGCAUUGUCAACUAUAUACACAGUAGUGAGGAAUAAAAUGCACACAAAACAAUGGAUAGAAUAUGAAAAUGUCUUCUAAAUAUGACCAGUCUAGCAUAGAACCUUCUUCUCUUCCUUCUCAGGUCUUCCAGCUCCAUGUCAUCUAACCCACUUAACAAACGUGAACGUAUCGCUUCCAGAGGCCGUCUUAACAAUUCCAUUUCCAAAAGUCAUCUCCAGAAGACAUGUAUUUUCUACGAUUUCUUUUAAACAAAUGAGAAUUUACAAGAUGUGUAACUUUCUAACUCUUUUAUCAUAACUCGACAACCUCUUUCCAUCUAGAAGGGCUAGAUGUGACAAAUGUUUUCUAUUAAAAGGUUGGGGUGGAGUUGAGAGCAGCUUUUUCAUAUUAUAUACACAGGCCUUCCAUAAACGGCCAGUAAAUCUUCCCAGAGGGUGGUGGGCAUUUCCAACUGGCCAAACGUGGCCUGUCAUUCUACCAUUUCUCUCUUCCGACAGCAAAGUCUGGUAGAAUGAAGACCAACCGCCCGAUGGCCGCUAACCGUUCCACCCGUCGUUGUUCGGGACUUCGCUCACCUUUCAGGCCCCUUAAGGCCUUUGUCCGUUGUCGUCAGGACUAGGGCAGAGGGCUCGGCCUGUCCCGAGGCCCCCCAGUUCAUCCGCCGGCCCGGGGCCAGAGGGCCCUGAAGGCGCGGGCUGCGUUCUGCGUCUCUCCGCGAUCUCUGCCGGACCGGAACUAAGACCAGACCAUUUUCUUCUGGAAGAUCCAGAAGGCUGGUAAUGCAUUGUUUCUGGGUGUGUUUAUGAGGAUGUUGCCAAAGGAGACUGACAUUUGAAUUGGUGGACUGGGAGAGGAAGACCCAACUUCAAUGUGGGUGGACAGCAUCCAAUCAUCUGCCAGCCCUGCUAGAACAAGCAGGUGGAGAGAGGUGGGAUCACUUUGCUUCACUAAGUCUUCUGGCUGUCUCUUUCUUCUUUCUGUGCCUGAUGUUUGCUUCUGCUUCUCUUGACCUUGGACAUCAGACUCCAGGUUCUUCGGCCUUUGGACUCUGGGAAGCACCAGUGGUUUCCCCAGGGCUCCCUGGUCUUCCACCGCAGACUGAAGGCUGAAAUGUCAGUUUCCCUAGUUUUUAGGCUUUCAGACUUGGUCUGAGACACUACUACUGGCUUUUCUGUUUCCUCAGCUUGCAGAUGGCCUACUGUGAGACUUUGCCUUGUAAUCAUGUGAGACAAUUCUCCCUAAUAAACCAUCUUUUGUAUAUA
This 3334-nucleotide long non-coding RNA is filed under the name Homo sapiens (human). Its description in RNAcentral is "PREDICTED lncRNA (TCONS_00210546)". Lineage: Eukaryota; Metazoa; Chordata; Mammalia; Primates; Hominidae. The record is from RNAcentral.